Molecule: ribosomal RNA, 403 nt
Filed under: uncultured bacterium
Lineage: Bacteria
Description: partial 16S ribosomal RNA
Rfam family: Bacterial small subunit ribosomal RNA
Source: RNAcentral
GACGAACGCUGGCGGCGUGCCUAAUACAUGCAAGUCGAACGCCGUGGGGACGGGUGAGUAACACGUGGCUAACCUCCCAUCAGAGGGGAUAACAGUUGGAAACAGGUGCUAAACCGAUACUGAUGGAUGGACCCGCGGUGCAUUAGCUAGUUGGUGAGGUAACGGCUCACCAAGGCCACGAUGCAUAGCCGGCCUAUGGGGUUGAUCGGCAAAAGUGGCACGGCGACACGGCCCGGACUCCAACGGGAGGUAGCAGGAGGGAAGCUUCGGCAAAGGACGAAAGUCUGACGUAGCAACACCGCGUGGAUGAAGAAGGUUUUCGGUUAGUAAAACUCUGUAGUCGGAGAAGCGGUAUCCAACCAGAAAGCCACGGCUAACUACGUGCCAGCAGCCGCGGUAAUUC